Long non-coding RNA from Myotis daubentonii (Daubenton's bat), 1871 nucleotides. RefSeq lists it as uncharacterized. The transcript is spliced from 3 exons. NCBI's taxonomy places the organism in Eukaryota, Metazoa, Chordata, Mammalia, Chiroptera, Vespertilionidae. The record is from RefSeq and is a predicted model, not a curated record.
AUGACUUUAGGGAACAUUAGCCCUGGGCCCAGCAGCCGCCCUGAGUCACUGCCAGUUGCUGGAAAAAGAAAAAUCUCUGCUAUCAACUUGUUUAGUUGCUACUGUUCAGAAAGCUGGGCACAAAACAAACAAACUUAAACACAAACAACCAGAACCCCGAAGCUGUAAAAGCCCCGUCUGCAGCUUCAAGCACAGGUUUCUCCGCUAAGCACCGGGGCUGCGGGAAAGCUGAGCCUCGGGGAGGUGAGAGCAGCAGGUGAGGGUGGAGUGGAGCCGGUGGGCCAGGCUCGGGGAGGAGGCCGGUGCAGAGGAGGCCCUGGCAGCAGAGACCUCCGGGAAGCUGCCUGACCUUGGACCAUCACGUGACUCCCCUGUGCCUCAGUUUCCUCAUCUGUAAAGCAGAGGAGACGCCAGCAGCGCUGAGCUCACGGCCUUGUGGUGAAGAUUAAGAACCCAACGGCCCUCUGGGGGACGCGUCCUAUGGGGCAUGGAGGCUGCCGGACCUUAAACAAACUGAAGCCCCCAAGAGUGGGACUGCCAUGCUCUGAGGAGGACAGAGCGCAGCUCCUGCUAUUCAGAGCCCAAGAUCAGACUGGACCAGUGACUAGUGAGAGCACUCCACGUGUCAGCCCAGGAGCCACGCCUCACCGGAGACUUUGCCAUCUUCACCCGCCACCGCAGAAGCUGGGGAGAACACACACACAUAACAUUUUACAUUAAAAUAAUUAUUUUUUUGGCCUAGCCGGUUUGGCUCAAUGGGUAGAGCAUGAGCCUGCAGACCAACAGGUCCCAGGUUCAGUUCUGGUCAAGGAUAAGUACCUUGGUUGCAGGCUCCUCCCUGGCCCAGGUGGGUGCAGGAGGCAACCAAUUGAUGUGUUUCUCUCACAUCGAUGUUUCUCUCUGUCUUUCCCUCUCUCUUCCACUCUCUCUCUAAAAAAAAAAAAUCAAUGGAAAAAAUAUCCUCAGGUGAGGAUUAACCAAAAAAAAAAAGAAUUGGAAAUAAUUAAAAAAUUAUUAUUAUUAUUUUUACUUUGUCAAAGCACAUGUAUGUGGAGAAGUUAAUAGGAGGUCCAACACGAAUUUACUGAGCACGUGCCCUGUGUACAGGUGCUAUAUGAGUCACCAUGGAGACAGCCAUGAACAAGACCUGGGGGCACGCUGGUGGUGCCGUGGGCAAGGUGAACUACGCACAUAGGCACCGCAUGUGGGCUUGAGAGAUCCAGACAAAGAGACGCCGACAUUCCAAGGACGAGGGUCAGGCACAGUCAUGGAGGUGCUGACCUCUGGCCUGGGCCCUGAGGGCGGGAGAGCCUGGCCAGGUGGAGAGGGAGGCAAUGGCCUCCCAGAGAAGGAUCAAAGCCCCAGCCUGGAAAAGCAUGGGAGGUGUAUGACCAUCAGGGAGAAACACUCCCAGCUGGCAUCCAGAAGGUGAACAAGAGGAGUGGGCUCGGAAAGGUGGGCUAGAAAGGACUUGCCCGGCCAGCGUGGCUCAGUGGUUGAGUGUCAACCUAUGAACCAGGAGGUCACAGUUCGAUUCCCCAUUGGGGCACAUGCCUGGGGUUGCCAAUCAAUGAUUCUCUCUCAUUGUUGAUGUUUCUCUCUCUCUCUUUCUCUCUCCCUCUCCCAAAUCAAUGAAAACAUAGACAUUUUUUUAAAAAGAAAGAAAAGAAACUACGGGGUCCAGAGUUUAUCUUCAGCGAGGGAUGAGGAGCCUUGGAAAGUGUGGGGCAGGUGAGGCAGUGAACCCCGAGCAAAUCAAAACAAAACUCACGCAGGGCCAGGUGAUGCGUUCGUCUGUGGCCCAGCCAGGACCUGAAUUCGGAUUUGUACUGGCACAGGCAGGCUCCUGGACCGCACACUGGCCAGGCAGA